UUUUCAAGCCUUAUUUCUUGAAACUCAAAGCACUUCAUCAUACUCUUUCGCAGAUAUUUAACAUCGUUCACAGGUUCAUCAUCACAUAAAGAACAUGCAUGACCAUUUUUGAACAUAAUACUAACGAUUCAACACUCAAAACAUCACAUAAGAGUCUUACAUAAGUCUAAAAAGAAUUUCAUUACAUAAGAUAACCAAACCACAUAAAGAACAUAAAACCAUAUCCUAUCAUAGCUUUUAAUCAUUUCUUCAUUCAUUUAAUUCUCAUCACUUCUUCUUCCAUCUUUUCAAGCCUUAUUUCUUAAAACUCAAAGCACUUCAUCAUACUCUUUCGCAGAUAUUUAACAUCGUUCACAGGUUCCACAUAAAAAAUAAAAAAAUAAAAAAAUAAAUAAAUAAAUAAAUAAAAUAAAUAAAUAAAAAUGUAAAUUCUUUUUGAAAAACGAAUU
RNAcentral lists this long non-coding RNA (449 nucleotides) under Brassica rapa (field mustard). RNAcentral's name for it is "long non-coding RNA (BRAP_LNC007039)". Lineage: Eukaryota; Viridiplantae; Streptophyta; Magnoliopsida; Brassicales; Brassicaceae. The record is from RNAcentral.